Molecule: long non-coding RNA, 7264 nt
Organism: Cyprinus carpio carpio
Lineage: Eukaryota; Metazoa; Chordata; Actinopteri; Cypriniformes; Cyprinidae
Source: Ensembl
CAUUUCUCCCGUCUCACGCUCAUGUGAGGCACCAAUAACAUGGGCUAAAUUACCAGCACUUAUUUGCUGCAUCCCCUGCAAGAGCCUGAACUCCCCUGUUUACGGCCAUGCCCUAACAUCCCAUUCUCCCCCAGCCAUGAUCUCAAAUCCGGCACUUUGAAAACCCUCAUCCUGCUUUUCUCACAAGAUUGUGAGGAUUCACCUGUGGAUUAAAUGGGGACAACAAAAAAGAACAUCUUUUCCUGAGUGGGAUUUAACAUCAACUGGGUGAAACGGUCCAAAUAAGAUUGGGAUACACAAGCGAAAUCAAAGGACACUCGGCUGAAGUACCACCAUGGCUCAGGCAACUAAAGGUCCCGUGGUGAAGUCCAUCCCUCCCACUGGUGUAGCUGCCCCGGCUAGAACAGCACACACAGACUCACUUACUGCCGGGAGCCAUGGAAUUUUACGAAUCAUGAAUCGCCCGGCACAGUGGGUGGUCAUCAUCACACUUCUGAUUUCUUGGUCAAUAGCAGGUGUUGUCAUGUUUGAUUUUGUCAGUGACGAUCAGAUUGCAAGCAUCCAGGAUUUUGGCUCUGAUCCAGUGCUAGCAGUGAGCAAGGCCAUCGAAGGCAUUGAAAACUGGAUAAACCAUAUGAACGAUAUGCUUUAUGAUGCUCACGAGUACAUCACUGAAAUAAUAUUUAAUCCGAGGGAAGCUAUUAGUUUAGCAGCUGACUCAUCUGUGUCUUAUCUGUCAGGAAUAUUUAGUGCUGAUGGAGAUUCAGGAGUCACUGAAACAGUGAAAUAUGGUGGCACUGUAUUGGAUGAGGCUACAGAAUGGAUCAGAACCCCAGUGAGCUACUUAUUCCACUUGUUUGAAGACAUAUUGGAUAUAGUGAUUACUCCAGUGGAUAUGGUCACUGAAGUUGCUGUGCAAAUUUUAAGUGGGAUCAAGACCAUUAUACAAUAUAUUUCAACCAUGUUUGGGGGCAUUGAAGGGGAUACAGGCAUCACUGAAACAGUGAAACUUGGUGGUACUUUAUUGGAUGAGGUUACUGAAUGGAUCAGAUUCCCAGUGGGCUACUUAUUCCACUUAUUUGAAGGCAUCUUGGAUGUAGCAAUCAUUUAUCCAGGGGACAUUGCCACUGAAGCAGUUCUGCAAAUUUUAAGUGGGAUCAAGACCAUUUCUUCAACCAUAUUUGGAUACCUUGAAGUUUGGUUUCCCAAAAUGAGCACUGGUCCCGCAGAACUGGCUGAAAUUGUUGUAGAGAAGGCCACAGACAUAAAGACCACUGUCUCUAAUUACCUAACCAGUCUGUUUGCAGUGGAUGAAGGUGGUAUUCCUGACAUUAGCUUUGAUCCCAUGAAAGUUGUCACAGACACUGUUGAGGAGUUUGCUGACAGGAGGGAUAUGUUCUUGGCCUAUCUCUCCAACAUGGAAGACAAAGAUGACACACCGCAAGUGAUAAGACGGAAAGGAGAAUUUCUGCCCCCUAUGGAAAAAGUUGCAGAAAUAGUAGGCAAAACACAGGACCCUGCUUAUGCUGCCUACAUUGCUGUGAGAUCCACAGUGAAGGAGACAGACAACACUAAAGUAAUAAAAGAGGUUGAGGAGGAACAUGGUGAGCUGGAAUCUGCUGAAGAUGCAACUGAAAAAGCUCAAGAUAUACAAGUAGAUGUUACAAAGGAGGAAGGAAGAGUUGAACCAGCUGAGGACAGCUCUGAUGUCACAGUUUACGAUGAUGAGGUUGUCUCAGAUGUCAUGGAGGAGGAUAAAACUCCUGGAACAGUUGAAGAUAUUUUGGAUGUUACAGAGGAGGAACCUUCUGUUAUGCCAGAAGUCAUAGAUGAGGAAUUAGCUACUGAAAAGGUUGAAGAUAUCUCUGAUUUCAUAGAGGACAAGUCAGCUAUGAUGGCCUCUGAUGCGACAGAAGACACUGAUGAUGCCUCUGCAGUUACAGAGGAGAAAGAAACAACUGAAACAAUUGAAGAAGCAGCAAUUGAAACAGCAGAAGAUACUUCCAAUAUUACAACCAAAACUGAAUUGAAUACAGAUGAAAAUGAAUUUCAGAAAAUUCCCAAUAUUACAGAGGAGGAUGCAGAACUUGAAACAGUUAAAGAUACUUCUGAUCUCAUAGGUGAGAUAGAAGAACCUGAGACAGAUGAAUAUGCCUUUGCUGUCACGGAAGAAACAGCUGAAGAGUCACUAGAAGAAGAACAGCCACCAGAAUUGACUGAAGCUACUCAAGAUACCAUCUGUGUGAAGGAAAAGAUUGCAGCAAAAGAACUCAAUGAUCAUGAAGUCCCAGGUAAGGAUGAAUUAAAAGAGGAAGAUAAGCAGAGAAAGGAAGAUGUGGCAAUUGCUGAUGCUGAAAACAGCACAAAAAACCUGGAGAAUGAGGUAGAUGAAGAUGAGGUUGAGGUGGAGACUAAAGAUCAAACUAUCUUGGGAACAUCUGCUGGUGAAGAUGACCUUGACAAUGAAGAGGAGCUUGUCCUUUCUCCUGUCCAGCAUGACCUCACAGACAGAAAUGAUGAAAAUAACAAUAACAAUGACAGGAUGAGAGAUGCCAUAAAAACAGGCCUGAGCAGGAGAAAAACAUCAAAGAGCCAUUCCAUUGGCACAAACCACCAAGAAGCACACGAGGAUCUUCAUGAAGAGUCUCACAAAGAUAUGAGGGAAAAGAAGGCUGAAAGUAAAGAGGAAGAGAUAACACUGCAACGAAUAAACAUAACAGUAGAAAAAGUCAAGAAGAAAAAGGAGAUAGAAAAGGCUAAAAGAAAAGAAAAAUCCAAAGAGGACAAGACUCGAGAACCAACAGAAGCUAAAAUGGCCAAAAAAGAGACCAAACUAGCAACAUCUAAGAAAGAGCCUCGAGUUACAAAAGAAAAGGCUAAACCAGCUCGUUCAAAGAAAGAAGCUGAAGUUGCUGUUAAAAAACUAAAACACGCUCCUGCAAAGAAAGAGCCUGAGGUUUCCAAAGAGAAGGCCAAGCUGAAGCCCUCAAAGAAAGAAGCUAAAGCUCCCAAGGACAAAAUUAAACCGGCCCUUUUGAAGAAAGAGCCUGAUGUUUCUAAGGAGAAAGAAAAACCACCAACUGCAAAGAAAGAAGAAAAGCCAACAACCGCUAAAAAAGAGCCUGCAGUUGCAGAAGAGAAAGUCAAACCAGUGCCCUCAAAGAAAGAUACUAAAGCUAUUAAGGAGAAAGUGAAACCAGCCCCAGUUAAGAAAGAGCCUGAGGUUUCCAAAGAAAAAGCCAAGCCAAAACGUUUAAAGAAAGAGGCUAAAUCUGUUGAAGAGAAGGCAAAACCAGCACCAGCUAAAAAAGAGAAGGAGAAACCUCCAAAGAAAGCUGUAAAAGAAAAGCCCAAACCUGCUUCUGUAAAGAAAGAACCUAAAUUUCCAAGAGAGAAAGCAAAACCUAAACCUUCCAAAAAAGAGGCAGAAGUUGCCAAAGACAAGCAUAAACCUGUCACUGUGAAGAAAGAACCUGCUGUUGCAGUUGAAAAGGCAAAACCGAAACCUGCACCAAAGAAAGUUACCAAAGAGAAAGCUAAACCAGAACCUGCAAAGAAAGAACCUGAGAUAACCAAAGAAAAACCGAGAGCACCAAAGAGAAAGGCUCAAGUUAUUAAGGAGGAAGCUAAACCAGCUCCUGCAAAAAAAGUCUUCAAAGAUGUUAAACCAGCCCUUAAGAGAAGAGAGGCUAAAGUAAUGAAGAAGAAAGUUAAACCGACUCCUGUAAAGAAAGAGCCUGAAGUUGCUAAAGAAAAGGCACCUGAAUCAGCACCAAGAAUAGUGGCUAAAGUCAUCAAGGAGAAACCUAAACCAGUUCCUGAGAAGAAAGAAGCUGUAAUCAUCAAAAAGAAAGUUAAACUGGCUCCAGUAAAGAAAGCACCUGAGAUAAUCAAAGAAAAGCCAAAGCCAGCACCAAAGAAAGAGGCUGAAGUCAUCAAAGAGAAAGCUAAACCAACUCCUGAAAAGAAAGUCAUCAAGGAGAAACCUAAACCAGUUCCUGAGAAGAAAGAAGCUGUAAUCAUCAAAAAGAAAGUUAAACUGGCUCCAGUAAAGAAAGCACCUGAGAUAGUCAAAGAAAAGCCAAAGCCAGCACCAAAGAAAGAGGCUGAAGUCAUCAAAGAGAAAGCUAAAGCAACUCCUGAAAAGAAAGAGACCGAAGUCAUCAAGGAGAAAGUUAAACCAGCCCCUGUAAAGAAAGUUAAAGUUCCAAAGGAAAAGACAAAACUUGUCCUUGAAGCAAAGGAACCCAAAAUAACUAAGGAAAAGCCAAAGCCAGCACCAAAGAAAGAAGCUUUAGUCAUCAAAGAGAAAGCUAAACCAGCCCCUGUGAAGAAAGAGUCUGAAAUUAUCAAGGAAGAAAGAAAGAAAGCUAAACCAGCUCCUAAGAAGAAAGUGGCUGAAGUCACCAAGGAGAAAGCUAAGCAAGCUCCGAUGAAGAAAGAGCCUGAAGUCACUAAAGAAAAGUUAUUAGAACCAACUCCAAAAAAAGAGCUCCUGAACUCUAUCAGCCAAAAACUGUCUCUUCUGGAUUUACUGAGGAAGGACAUUGGUGAAAUGAAGAGUGAUCUGGAGUCCACUCAAAAUCAAAUUACGCUUUUACGAAUGGACAACAGAACAAUCAAAGAGCCAAAGACUGUUGGUGUAAAGGUAAAACCAGCAGUCUCCAAGGAAAAGGUCAAAACAGCAAAAAAAGACCAUGAUGCUCUGAUGAACGUUACAGCACAUAUUAAAGCAGAAGCUGAAAUCAUCAAAAAGAUAAAAGAUAAAGUUAAACUGGCUCCUUUAAAGAAAGAACGUGAUGCACUGAAAAACAUCACUAAACCAGCACCUGCAAAGAAAGAUAAAGAGGCUCCAAAAGCUAAGAUCAGACCACAGCCCAAAAAGAAAGAAAUCACCCAUGAGAAGGUCAAACAAGUAAAGGAACCUUUACAGAAAGUCGAGCCAACUAAGAAGGAGGCUGUUGUGGGCAAGGAAGUAAAAGGAGAAGAACCUGAUGUCUCCAAAGAUAUUCCAGAGAUGGAGGAUGAGGAUGUUCCCUACUUCCAGUGUUUCUUUGUGGAUGAGGAUGAUACUCAGUAUCCAUUCUUCCCCUUUUCACCACCGCUGUGGUGAAACUAGCCAAACCUCGUAUUCUGAUGUUAAACAACAUGGCAAAGCCAGUGAAGACGGACCUCUGAACGCUCUGAUGCAGUGGAGAGCUUCACAGUAGGUCCUACAGCAUUACACCAGCAAUGACCAAGAAAUGUGAAAGAGAUUUAAGUUACUUCCUGGAUCUUAAAACUCGAAAACUUCCUUCUCAGAUUCUUUGUCAUUUUGAAGAACAGAGUUUGCAAAUAUUGCGCUAUUUAUUAUAUCAUCUUAAGGCUAUCCAUCUUUUUAUUAAUACCAUGGAUUUGCCUUUUGUUUCUGAAUGAUUACUAUCUAUUUAUGAUUAAUAUAUAUGUCCAAGAAGGACAGGAAGAAAUGAAAGAACUAACUUCCUUUCUGAACAUGCAGUGGGGUUCAGGAUUGUAAGAUUAUAUAGUCUUUUAUAUAAACAUGAGGCGUGACCUCGUUUUGAUGGGGUGCUAAUUCUAAGCAUUCCACUGUGUUUUCUGUCAGAAUGGGGUUUGGAAGUUGUUCACGGUUCGUACAACUGGAAGGAAGGAUAUAAUAAAACAAGAAAUAUGUAAACUAUUUCAUAUAUCCUUUCUUAGUGAUACCGUUUACUAAACUGUUUACAGAAGUAACAGCUGCACUGAGAAAUACGGGCUUUGGACCGUAAGCUCAGUUCCUCAGAAUGUAUACAUCAUUUUAUUUAUAUAUUAUUUUUAUUUUGUUUUAUUCCUCUCUCUUUUUUAGCUUUCCAUACAUUUUACUUAAUAUAACUUGCCAAAUGUUUUAUAAAUCUAUACUUCAGAGGAAACAAAUAUGUUUUGUUCAGUGCUCUUUAUAAAUGAUUUUGCAUAACAAAAUUAAGAUAAGCUGUUGUGCUAAAUCCAAGAAAAAGCAUCAAACAUCAAGGCAACUACGUUGUUCUAGUAUAUCACAUUGCAAACACUACUGUUUUUACUUUUAUCUGCAUAACAUUAAUAGUUUAUUUAAGAUAAUGUCUGUAAAAAUGUGGGUGUGUUUUUGCAAUAUUACAUGGAUAGACCUACCUAAUAGAGAAGAGACAAUUAAAUAGCAUUCUGAAUUGUGUAACAAAAAUUGUCUGUUCCACAUUAUACUCAUACAGAAGAUUUUUUUUUAUUAUUAUGGGAUAAUGUGUCAAAUUAAAUUUAUUGCAUGCAACCACCGUGUGUUUCAACACUGCCCCUGGUGGCUCCCUGGCUCAUUACUCCAUUGCUUGAUUUAAUGAUAUUGAGUGUUUAAUGGUAUGUACUAGUGAGACACACCAUUAAACUAGUGUGCCGGUGGGCUGCCCUGGAGACAUUUCUUUUACUGCCACUGUCUUUUCUGUAUGAGUUCAGCAUGUGGCUCCAUUGAACAUAAACUCAUGUCUGUACAAAGAGCUUUUUUACCUCUGAUGUUAAGUAACUUAGGGUGAUCGUACGUUCUGUUUUUCCCAGACAUGUCCUGGCCAGGAUUUCUAAAUUGCCUAAAAUGUCAUUUUUUUGACUUUCUGAAGGUAAUGACUGUAAAGUAGUUUCACCAGCAUGCAGGCAUUGUGCUUAAUCGACCAGUUGUGGCCUGCGAGAAGGUGGGAUCUACAGAGAAGAGUCAAAGCAGUGCAAAUACAUGUACACAUAAUGUCUGAGGACUCUAGAGAGGAAACGCCAAAACCUGGACAUUUUAGGCAAUGUAGAAAUCCCGAUCAGGAUAUGUCUGGCAAUAAGAGGAUGUAUAGUCAACUGUACAAAUACAUAUUGUAGCAAUGCUCACUUGUAACAGAUAUACAGGUCUUUUUUGGACUUUUUUGGACUUUUCAAGUAAAUUAUGAGCUUGUUGGUGUGUUCUCAAGCAAACUGUGAAGCAAUGAAUAACAGCAUUUUUCAAUAGUUCAUAUAGUUCUUUAAGAUAUGUGUACUGUUAUUUUAAACCUAAUUUACAGUUCAUAUUUGAAAAAUGUUCCUCAAAGAUAAUAGUUUGCAUGAUGUUUGCAUGAAUUUUGUUUAAAAAUGUAUCUAAACCAGACCAUAUUUAAUUUGUGUGUGUUUUUAAUUGGAAUUACAUAAUUUCAUUGAAAAUGUAUAAUGUAAUAUUAUAUUCAUUUGGGUUUGUUUGUUUUUUUGCAUGGUUUUGAAGUUAGAUGUUGAAAACAUUCUCUGUACAAUGUAUAGC